This 1508-nucleotide ribosomal RNA is filed under the name Bordetella holmesii 70147. RNAcentral describes it as "bacterial SSU rRNA". It matches the Rfam family "Bacterial small subunit ribosomal RNA". The record is from RNAcentral. Lineage: Bacteria; Pseudomonadati; Pseudomonadota; Betaproteobacteria; Burkholderiales; Alcaligenaceae.
GAGUUUGAUCCUGGCUCAGAUUGAACGCUGGCGGAUGCUUUACACAUGCAAGUCGGACGGCAGCACGGGGCUUCGGCCUGGUGGCGAGUGGCGAACGGUGAGUAAUGUAUCGGAACGUGCCCGGUAGCGGGGAUAACUACGCGAAAGCGUGGCUAAUACCGCAUACGCCCUACGGGGGAAAGCGGGGGACCUUCGGGCCUCGCACUAUUGGAGCGGCCGAUAUCGGAUUAGCUAGUUGGUGGGGUAACGGCCUACCAAGGCGACGAUCCGUAGCUGGUUUGAGAGGACGACCAGUCACACUGGGACUGAGACACGGCCCAGACUCCUACGGGAGGCAGCAGUGGGGAAUUUUGGACAAUGGGGCAACCCUGAUCCAGCCAUCCCGCGUGUGCGAUGAAGGCCUUCGGGUUGUAAAGCACUUUUGGCAGGAAAGAAACGGCACGGGCUAAUAUCCUGUGCAACUGACGGUACCUGCAGAAUAAGCACCGGCUAACUACGUGCCAGCAGCCGCGGUAAUACGUAGGGUGCAAGCGUUAAUCGGAAUUACUGGGCGUAAAGCGUGCGCAGGCGGUUCGGAAAGAAAGAUGUGAAAUCCCAGGGCUUAACCUUGGAACUGCAUUUUAACUACCGAGCUAGAGUGUGUCAGAGGGAGGUGGAAUUCCGCGUGUAGCAGUGAAAUGCGUAGAUAUGCGGAGGAACACCGAUGGCGAAGGCAGCCUCCUGGGAUAACACUGACGCUCAUGCACGAAAGUGUGGGGGCAAACAGGAUUAGAUACCCUGGUAGUCCACGCCCUAAACGAUGUCAACUAGCUGUUGGGCCUUCGGGCCUUGGUAGCGCAGCUAACGCGUGAAGUUGACCGCCUGGGGAGUACGGUCGCAAGAUUAAAACUCAAAGGAAUUGACGGGGACCCGCACAAGCGGUGGAUGAUGUGGAUUAAUUCGAUGCAACGCGAAAAACCUUACCUACCCUUGACAUGUCUGGAAUCCCGAAGAGAUUUGGGAGUGCUCGCAAGAGAAACCGAACACAGGUGCUGCAUGGCUGUCGUCAGCUCGUGUCGUGAGAUGUUGGGUUAAGUCCCGCAACGAGCGCAACCCUUGUCAUUAGUUGCUACGAAAGGGCACUCUAAUGAGACUGCCGGUGACAAACCGAGGAAGGUGGGGAUGACGUCAAGUCCUCAUGGCCCUUAUGGGUAGGGCUUCACACGUCAUACAAUGGUCGGGACAGAGGGUUGCCAACCCGCGAGGGGAGCCAAUCCCAGAAACCCGGUCGUAGUCCGGAUCGCAGUCUGCAACUCGACUGCGUGAAGUCGGAAUCGCUAGUAAUCGCGGAUCAGCAUGUCGCGGUGAAUACGUUCCCGGGUCUUGUACACACCGCCCGUCACACCAUGGGAGUGGGUUUUACCAGAAGUAGUUAGCCUAACCGCAAGGGGGCGAUUACCACGGUAGGAUUCAUGACUGGGGUGAAGUCGUAACAAGGUAGCCGUAUCGGAAGGUGCGGCUGGAUCACC